This is a long non-coding RNA of Bos mutus (wild yak), 2281 nucleotides long. The record is from Ensembl. NCBI's taxonomy places the organism in Eukaryota, Metazoa, Chordata, Mammalia, Artiodactyla, Bovidae.
AGGAGGGAGGGGCCCAGAAAGUGCAGAAAAUAACCAAGAAAAAGAGACGACAGAUCUCAGGGAAAAAAGUGGACCUAGGAGAGAAGGGAGAGGCCAGGGAAAUGGAGAAACUGUCACUGAAAGAAGAGAGACAGGCCCAGGAAGGAAAGAGACAGGAUCAGAAAAAGGACAAACUGACUCCAAAAGCAGCUGAGGAAAAAACCCAACUAGUCAGAGGAAAAAUGAAACUGGUCUCAAAAGAGAAAAGUAGAGAGAAAAUUGAGAAAGUGUCCCCAAAAGAAGAGAAAUGGGUCAUGGAAAAAGAGAAGAAAAUCAGCAAGGAAAAAAAACAAUGGGCCCACAAAAGAAAAUUAGCCCUACCAGAGGAGAAACAGGCCCAGGAUGAGAGAAUAUGGGGUCAGAAAGAGAGUGAGCGAAGAAAACAAUGGGCCUGGAGAAAAGAGAAACUGUCCCGAGAAGAGAAGAAACAAGCCGAUGAAAUGGAGAAAAAGUCCCAACAAAGACAGGCAAGGGCUUUAGAGAAAACACUGACUCAGGAAGACAGUUUCAUGGGCAAGGAAGAGAAGCAUAUUGCCGAGGAAGAAAGGACAAUAGCCAGGGAAGGAAUUGGUGUAACUAAGAGAAAGAAAAAAGCAACUCAAGAAGAGAAAGAAACUAUUGAAGAAGAGGGGAAACUGGCCUAUGACGUUAGGGCCAAGGAGAUGGGUGUUGCUAAGGAAGAAAAGAAAAGAAUUCAAGAGGAGAGUAUACAGGAAAUGAGGAAACUGGAUAUGGGGGUGGGGAUUAGUUCUGAAGGAAGAGAGACUAGUUCCAGAGAAAAAGAUAUAAGGAAGAAAGAGAGUCACCUGAUGCAGAUCCUGGCUAAAAUAAUUAGAGAAAUGAAUAGAGUGCCAUUGCAAGAAACAGGAAUACCUGAGGAAGAUCAACUGUUUUCUAUGGAAAUGAGUGAAACUGAUGGCCAGAGGUGGGAAUUUUCUAAAGAACCAGAGGAAAUAACCAGAGAAGAGAAGCAGCUGGUUCAGAAAGAGAGAAAACUAGAAGAUGACAGACUAGCUACUGAAGAGAGAAUACUGACCAAUGAAGAGAGCUUGGAGGAAGACCAAAGGUUAUUAGAGAAGGUCCAGGAAAAUAUACUAUUAGAUAAAACCCAGGUAGACAGUAUGUUAAAGGAGGCCCAGCAGCAAAAUCUGUUAGGAAAAAAGCAGCUGAAGAAGCUUCUAAAGAUAAUCAAGGAGAAGAAACCAGAAAAGACCCAGGUAAAGUGGUUAUUAGAGAAUAUUAGAGACAUACUAUUCGAAGGCUUAUCAGAGAGUUUGAUUGAGAAGGAAGUGGAAGCUCCAGCUAAGAAGAGGAUAGAUGAGGAGAGGCUCAUUGAAGGAGAGGAGAAGGAGAAGGAGGAGGAGGAGGAGAUUCUGCCCAAGAAAGAGAAAGGGAAAUACCUGAUAAAGAAGAAGGAAAAGAAAGUAAGCCUGAGUGAAGAGGAAUUGGAGGAGAGCUUGGCUGGGAAGCAUAGGAAAAAGAGUUUAACUCAAAUAAGGAAAAAGGAAAAGAAACUGACUCAGGAGAAAGAGAAGCUGGAUAAGAAGGUAAAAGAGGGCCCACAUGAGGAAGAGAUGGAGCCCUUCAGCAAGGAGGAAGGUGGGGCCCCACACAUGGAGAAGGAGGAGGAGGACUUCAGUGAGGAGGAGGAGAGCCGAAGUGAGGAAGAGAGUCUGAGUGAAGAGGAAGAGAGCCUGAGUGAGGAGGAGAGUCUGAGUGAGGAGGAAGAAAGCCUGAGUGAGGAGGAGAGUCUGAGUGAAGAGGAAGAGAGCCUGCAUGAGGAGGAGAGUCUGAGUGAGAAGGAAAAGGAGGGCCUGAGUGAAGAAGAGGAGAGCCUGAGUGAGGAGGAAGAGGGCCUGAGUGAGAAGGAGAAGAGUCUGAGUGAAAAAGAGAAGCGUCUGAGUAAGAAAGAGAAGGCUCUGCAUGAGAAGGAGAAGAGUCUGAGUGAGAAAGAGGAGGAAGAAGAAAAAAUGGAGAAGACAGAGAAAAAAGAGGAGGAAAAGGAGGCAAGACAGAAGGAUGAGGAGAGUAUGAGUAAAGAGAAGGAACAGCCAAGAAGACUUACAGAGGCAAUGCUCCCAGUAAAGCAGAGAGUAUGGAAAACAGAGCUCCCAAAGGAAGGAGUGAACUUAUUGAAGCCAGCAACAGUAAGUGAGGUUCUUGCUGAGAAAAGGGAAGACACAGCUAAAGAAGAAAUGGCUCCUAAAAAAGACAGAUUGUUUUAUGGACAGGUAAGUCCCAC